RNAcentral lists this ribosomal RNA (444 nucleotides) under uncultured bacterium. RNAcentral's name for it is "SSU rRNA". It matches the Rfam family "Bacterial small subunit ribosomal RNA", at positions 26 to 518 of the family's 1533-position model. The record is from RNAcentral.
AGAACGAACGCUGGCGGCAGGCUUAACACAUGCAAGUCGAGCGCCCCGCAAGGGGAGCGGCAGACGGGUGAGUAACGCGUGGGAACAUACCCUCCGGUUCGGAAUAACUCAGGGAAACUUGAGCUAAUACCGGAUACGGUCGAGAGGCGAAAGAUUUAUCGCCGGAGGAUUGGCCCGCGUCCGAUUAGCUAGUUGGUGUGGUAAUGGCGCACCAAGGCGACGAUCGGUAGCUGGUCUGAGAGGAUGAUCAGCCACAUUGGGACUGAGACACGGCCCAAACUCCUACGGGAGGCAGCAGUGGGGAAUAUUGGACAAUGGGCGAAAGCCUGAUCCAGCCAUGCCGCGUGAGUGAUGAAGGCCUUAGGGUUGUAAAGCUCUUUCGCCCACGACGAUAAUGACGGUAGUGGGAGAAGAAGCCCCGGCUAACUUCGCGCCAGCAGCCGC